UCAGGAGAGCCAGUGGCAGGAGCUUUUGGUUUUACUGCACACACUUCCCGUCCCUGAACCUGGAGAUCCCAUCCAUCUCGGAAUGCAUUCUUUCUUCACCGUGCCUGAUAUCAGAGAACUCCCCAGCAUCCCUGAGAACAGAAACCUAACGGAGUAUUUCGUAGCUGUAGAUGUCAACAACAUGCUUCACUUGUAUGCUAGUAUGCUGUAUGAACGCCGGAUCCUCAUCUGCUGUAGCAAACUAAGCACUGUAAGUACAUUAAGAUGUCAUUU
Molecule: long non-coding RNA, 273 nt
Organism: Oryzias melastigma (Indian medaka)
Lineage: Eukaryota; Metazoa; Chordata; Actinopteri; Beloniformes; Adrianichthyidae
Exons: 3
Source: RefSeq, a predicted model, not a curated record